AGAGUUUGAUUAUGGCUCAGGACGAACGCUGGCGGCGUGCCUAAUACAUGCAAGUGGAACGCAUUGAUAUCACCGGAGCUUGCUCCACCGAUAUUAAUGAGUCGCGAACGGGUGAGUAACGCGUAGGUAACCUGCCUGAUAGCGGGGGAUAACUAUUGGAAACGAUAGCUAAUACCGCAUGAGAGUGUUUAACACAUGUUAGAGACUUAAAAGAUACCAUUGUAUCACUAUCAGAUGGACCUGCGUUGUAUUAGCUAGUUGGUAGGGUAGCGGCCUACCAAGGCACUGAUACAUAGCCGACCUGAGAGGGUGAUCGGCCACACUGGGACUGAGACACGGCCCAG
RNAcentral lists this ribosomal RNA (344 nucleotides) under uncultured bacterium. Its description in RNAcentral is "bacterial SSU rRNA". It matches the Rfam family "Bacterial small subunit ribosomal RNA", at positions 8 to 334 of the family's 1533-position model. The record is from RNAcentral.